RNAcentral lists this long non-coding RNA (664 nucleotides) under Zostera marina. Its description in RNAcentral is "long non-coding RNA (ZMAR_LNC000132)". Lineage: Eukaryota; Viridiplantae; Streptophyta; Magnoliopsida; Alismatales; Zosteraceae. The record is from RNAcentral.
AGUCGUUUAUCUUAGCCAAACUAUGUAUUUUCUUAUAAACCUCACAGUGACCGACUUCAUGACCAGCUUCUUCAUUCUGAUUGUCAUACACAAAAAAAUUAGAAUGAUAAAUGUAAAAUAUAUGAAAGAAAUGUUUUUUUACCAUUCUUUCAUGAGUGGCCGCAACUGAACAAGAUCCACCCGUGUAUGGCAUGUAAUCUGGAUUGUUUGUCCUAUUUUCUGAUGCUUUUUCGGAUCUUUUUUGCCAAUCUUCUUUUAACCAAAUUUCUAUCAUUUCACUCCAUACUUCCGCAGAAAGGUAUAUCGGUGGAAAUCUAGCGCAAGAUCUGGUUAGUUUGUCAACUUUGGCCAAUUUCUUUGCCUCUUGUCUCGCUUUAUACAACCAACGACAUGUAUAAUUUAGUUGUACAUAAUUAUCAAAACAUUCACGAGCCAAUUGAAUGUCCUCAAAUGAGAAAUAGCACUACAUAAAGACAAAAACAUUACAUAUGGAAAAAAAUGACAUAUGGAAAAUAUGACAAAUAAAUAAAUAAGUCAUACCAGACAUUUGACGAAAAGAUUUUCCUUUUCCUCUUCUUUCCAAGAAGUCUAUUUAGUUAAAGGUGACGUUAUAUUACCUUUUACUAAUAUUCCUAUUUGACUUCUUACAUUGUUUGUAAAAGUC